CCUGUCUCUCAAAUGCUAACUGAAGAAAUUAAUGUAAAAAAGGAAGGAAAAAAAAUCCAACAGAACAAGUGAAAAACCAAAUACAUAUUUGUGCGCAUACACAGUCCUGUUUAUAAAGUUCUAAAAUGGCCCUAAAGGAUAAAUGCAAGCCAUCCACGUUAAAAUAUGAAGAUGCCAAUUCAAAAAUUAUGACACUGAGAAAAUCACCUUCCUGAAAUAGCUCCUUAUUUUUCCAUGCAGGCAGCUUUUCAGUUAGAGCUUUGCCUUCCCUGGGCUGACAUUUAUACUGUGCCCCCAAGGUCAUCAGAUGGGGGCUCUUUGACUGUAGUGGAGCAGAAAACCAAAGCAGAAGAGGCACAUAUAACCGCUGUAUUUACUUUAGCAGUACAAUCUCCUAUCCUGUUAUAUGUCAAAGUGAAUAAUGGUAGAAAAUCA
This is a long non-coding RNA of Pipra filicauda (Wire-tailed manakin), 435 nucleotides long. RefSeq lists it as uncharacterized. The transcript has 2 exons. The record is from RefSeq and is a predicted model, not a curated record. Lineage: Eukaryota; Metazoa; Chordata; Aves; Passeriformes; Pipridae.